Molecule: ribosomal RNA, 460 nt
Filed under: uncultured bacterium
Lineage: Bacteria
Description: partial 16S ribosomal RNA
Rfam family: Bacterial small subunit ribosomal RNA
Source: RNAcentral
CCUACGGGCGGCAGCAGUGAGGAAUAUUGGUCAAUGGGCGAGACCCUGAUCCAGCCACGCCGCGUGAAGGAUGACUGCCCUACGGGUUGUAAACUUCUUUUAUAAAGGACUAAAGUGAGGCACGUGUGCCAUUUUGCACGUACUAACUGAAUCCGGAUCGGCUAACUCUGUGCAAGCAGCCGCGGGAAUACGGAGGUUCCGGGCGUUAUCCGGAUUUAAUGGGUGUAAAGGGAGCGUAGGGGGGUUGUGAAGUCAGUUGUGAAAGUUUGCGGCUCAACCGGGAAAGUGCAAUUGAUACUGGCAGUCUUGAGUGCAGUAGAGGUAGGCGGAAUUCGUGGUGUAGCGGUGAAAUGCGUAGAUAUCAGGAGGAACACCAGUGGCGAAGGCAGCUUACUAGACUGCCACUGACGUUGAGGCUCGAAAGUGUGGGGAGCAAACAGGAUUAGAUACCCGUGUAGUC